This 206-nucleotide long non-coding RNA is filed under the name Manihot esculenta (cassava). Its description in RNAcentral is "long non-coding RNA (MESC_LNC004074)". Lineage: Eukaryota; Viridiplantae; Streptophyta; Magnoliopsida; Malpighiales; Euphorbiaceae. The record is from RNAcentral.
AACAGAGCUAGUAGCCAUUUGGACAGGUGAUCAACUGAAAAUAUAUACCUUCACAUCAAUAGGUUGGUGACUUUUUCAAGCAAGAUUUAAGUGCAAAAGGCUGAAUGUAGUACUUCAAGGUAAGGGCAAAUCACUCUGAAAGCUAGAAAGAGUCUUAAUUGAAUAAAUAAUAUGUGCAUGUGUAAUCUCUCUCUUGAGGAAAACAA